This 204-nucleotide long non-coding RNA is filed under the name Brassica napus (rape). Its description in RNAcentral is "long non-coding RNA (BNAP_LNC010939)". Lineage: Eukaryota; Viridiplantae; Streptophyta; Magnoliopsida; Brassicales; Brassicaceae. The record is from RNAcentral.
GCGGAUUGCAGUCUUUUUCGCCAUGAUAAGGGCAUAGAUUUUGUGAUCUGAGGUAAGAGUGAUAAGGGUAUAAAUAGGGAUCUAGAUAUCAUCGAUCCAGAUGGAGGAUGUGGAAGGUCCGUAGGGAUCUUGAAUGGAGGAUUUAUGAGAUAACAUUGAAGUUCCAACACACUCAUUGGAGGCGUUAUACGGGAAGAGUUGGGG